This 408-nucleotide ribosomal RNA is filed under the name uncultured bacterium. Its description in RNAcentral is "partial 16S ribosomal RNA". It matches the Rfam family "Bacterial small subunit ribosomal RNA", at positions 28 to 526 of the family's 1533-position model. The record is from RNAcentral.
GACGAACGCUGGCGGCGUGCUUAACACAUGCAAGUCGAACGAAGUGGCGAACGGGUGAGUAACGCGUAAUCAACCUGCCCUUCAGAGGGGGACAACAGUUGUAAACGACUGCUAAUACCGCAUACUGAAGGAGGGGAUUGCGUGUGAUUAGCUAGUUGGAGGGGUAACGGCCCACCAAGGCGAUGAUCAGUCGCCGGGCUGGGGGGAGGAACUGCCACAUUGGGACUGAGACACGGGCCAGACUCCUACGGGAGGCAGCAGUUGGGAAACUUCCGCAAUGGACGAAAGUCUGACGGAGCAACGCCGCGUGAUUGAUGACGGCCUUCGGGUUGUAAAGCUCUGUUAAUCGGGACGCGGUACCGGAAUAGAAAGCCACGGCUAACUACGUGCCAGCAGCCGCGGUAAUUC